Molecule: long non-coding RNA, 348 nt
Filed under: Gallus gallus (chicken)
Lineage: Eukaryota; Metazoa; Chordata; Aves; Galliformes; Phasianidae
Source: RNAcentral
UGGUUACAAGCAGCAGAGCUGCUUUCAGCUGCCUGAGGCCACAUACAAAAGAAAAGAGAUGAAGAAAUAAGAGAAAUGUUCUCCAAGGUUGAAGAGAGGCACUAUUCAGUUUCCUGGUUAACAGACUCUCCGGAGUGUGACUCAUAAGCCCUUGCAGCUCAGACAGCGUUGCAGAAUGAGCUACCAGCAACCUCUUUGUCCUUCACAUGAUGUUACUGAAUCAGCUCAAGAUAACUCAUACCUUGGAGCAACCUCACAUUGCAACAUGCCUAUGUUUCCAUACCUGCCAUUGAUCAUCAUUUUCCAAUUAUUGCAACAUGAGAAGCACACAUGGUUUCCAGACUGCAC